UAAACCUCAGGGCAUUUGCUGGAAAAAAAACCCAGAGGAGCAGACUUCUCACUUCAGAGAGCAAUUCGCCAAAAAAGCAGAAGCGGUAAAGCAGGAAGAUAUGAGUGCUUACAACGCUUUUAAAUCUUGUGCUCCAGUUGCAUGGAGCCCUAAUCUAUACAUAACCCUUGUAAGGGGUAUACCAGGCACUAGGAGGCUCCAUAGGCGUACCCUUGAGGCAUUGCGUCUUGGCAAAUGCAACCGGACUGUAAUGCGAUGGAACACACCUACUGUUAGGGGAAUGAUUCAGCAGGUGAAAAGAUUGGUUGUCGUUGAGACAGAAGAGAUGUACAAUGCACGUAAGGAGAAAUUAGCUAAUCAGAAAGCUCUACGUCCUCCUUUGGUUGUAAAUCAUCACGCAGCCCCUGCAGGUGAUCCAGUUCAGUAACUGUUGAAAACUCUUUUCUGGUCAGUUUUGUAAUGGUCCAACAAUGUAGUAGCCUAUUCAGACCUUUUGCUUUAAGCAUGUGGUAUGAAAUUGCAUUGAACCUUUGUAUUAAGGUGGUUGUUGUUAUUGUUUUGGCUAUAAACGAUGCCUCUGGAACAAUCUAGAGAGUUGAUUAGGUCCUUACUGGAAUAAGGAACUUGAAGAAAGCUGAUAUAAGCUCGUAAACUAAAAACUGGUUCUAGCCCGUUGAUACGAGGCUACCAGGAAUGAUUCUGUGGUCAUGCUUAAAGAAGUGCAAUGAAGGAUUGCUUUAUGUUUAUGUCAUGUUAGGAACAACCUUUGAUUUUUCGGGUUUUCUCUGUGAACUUUGGCUCGAUUUUUACUGCUUUCUGUUUCCUUUCCUUAGCUUCUAUCUUCUUACUUGUCUUCUCUAUUCAACCUCGAGUCUGUACUGGUCUUUCUGUUAAAAAAAAUAUGUACUAAUAUCACAAUAAUCUUUGAAUAAAA
Molecule: unclassified non-coding RNA, 934 nt
Filed under: Hevea brasiliensis (rubber tree)
Lineage: Eukaryota; Viridiplantae; Streptophyta; Magnoliopsida; Malpighiales; Euphorbiaceae
Source: RNAcentral